GCGGGAGUAGCUCAAUGGGAGAGCGCGAGCCUUCCAAGCUUGAGACGCGGGUUCGAUUCCCGUCUCCCGCUCCA
Molecule: transfer RNA, 74 nt
Filed under: Candidatus Berkelbacteria bacterium
Lineage: Bacteria; Candidatus Berkelbacteria
Description: tRNA-Gly
Rfam family: tRNA
About the family: Transfer RNA (tRNA) molecules are approximately 80 nucleotides in length.
Source: RNAcentral